This 497-nucleotide ribosomal RNA is filed under the name uncultured bacterium. RNAcentral's name for it is "partial 16S ribosomal RNA". It matches the Rfam family "Bacterial small subunit ribosomal RNA", at positions 28 to 507 of the family's 1533-position model. The record is from RNAcentral.
GAUGAACGCUGGCGGCGUGCCUAAUACAUGCAAGUCGAGCGAACAGACGAGGAGCUUGCUCCCCUGUCGUUAGCGGCGGACGGGUGAGUAACACGUGGAUAACCUACCUAUAUGUCUGGGAUAACUUCGGGAAACCGGAGCUAAUACCGGAUAAUAUAUUGAACCGCAUGGUUCAAUAGUGAAUGACGGUUUUUCUGUAUCUUAUAGCUGCUUCCCCGCCGCAUUAGCUAGUUGGUAAGGUAACGGCUUACCAGGGCUACGAUGCGUAGCCGACCUGACAGGGGGAUCGGCCACACUGGAAGGGAGACACGGUCCAGAGUCCUACGGGAGGCAGCAGUAGGGAAUGUGCCGCAAUGGGCGAAAGCCUGACGGAGCAACGCCGCGUGAGUGAUGAAGGUCUUCGGAGCGUAAAACUCUGUUAUUGGGGAAGAACAAAUGUGUAAGUAACUAUGCACGUCGUGACGGUACCUAAUCAGAAAGCCACGGCUAACUACGUG